UUGGAAUGACAUAAAAUCAAAAUGGUUCAUUGGAAUGUGUGGAGCAUCGAUCUUGGUAAAUGUAGUAGUAAACAUGCAAUUCAGCUUAUACUUAUGUGAUGUAAUUUUGUAUUUAUCACUUCCUCCAACCAAUAUAUUUUCAACCUUAUAUGUUGAUCCUUCUCCAACUAUUUUUUUUUAUCUUUGACACCAAACUCUUUCCCACAGUAGCAAGAAUCUUAUCGCACUGGAUGAUCAAAGUAAAAAAAGGGGAAAAGUCAAUAAUAAAAAAAAAUCAAUAGAGAUUUUGUGAAAAUGUGAGAAGUAUAUCAAGAUAGUUCAUCACCUUUUCAUCAACAAACAACAUAUUCAUAGACGUAACCUCAGUUGGUUUGU
RNAcentral lists this long non-coding RNA (375 nucleotides) under Trifolium pratense (red clover). RNAcentral's name for it is "long non-coding RNA (TPRA_LNC005192)". Lineage: Eukaryota; Viridiplantae; Streptophyta; Magnoliopsida; Fabales; Fabaceae. The record is from RNAcentral.